Aedes albopictus (Asian tiger mosquito) is the source of this 58-nucleotide non-coding RNA. Lineage: Eukaryota; Metazoa; Arthropoda; Insecta; Diptera; Culicidae. The record is from Rfam.
UGGCCUAGUGGUUAAGGCUAUGGAUCGCCAAUCCAGAGACGGCGGGUUCGAUUCCCGU